GCGGUUUGUCGCGUCUGCUGUGAAAGCCCGGGGCUCAACCCCGGGUCUGCAGUGGGUACGGGCAGACUAGAGUGCAGUAGGGGAGACUGGAAUUCCUGGUGUAGCGGUGAAAUGCGCAGAUAUCAGGAGGAACACCGAUGGCGAAGGCAGGUCUCUGGGCUGUUACUGACGCUGAGGAGCGAAAGCAUGGGGAGCGAACAGGAUUAGAUACCCUGGUAGUCCAUGCCGUAAACGUUGGGCACUAGGUGUGGGGGACAUUCCACGUUUUCCGCGCCGUAGCUAACGCAUUAAGUGCCCCGCCUGGGGAGUACGGCCGCAAGGCUAAAACUCAAAGGAAUUGACGGGGGCCCGCACAAGCGGCGGAGCAUGCGGAUUAAUUCGAUGCAACGCGAAGAACCUUACCAAGGCUUGACAUUCACCGGACCGCCCCAGAGAUGGGGUUUCCCUUCGGGGCUGGUGGACAGGUGGUGCAUGGUUGUCGUCAGCUCGUGUCGUGAGAUGUUGGGUUAAGUCCCGCAACGAGCGCAACCCUCGUUCUAUGUUGCCAGCACGUGAUGGUGGGGACUCAUAGGAGACUGCCGGGGUCAACUCGGAGGAAGGUGGGGAUGACGUCAAAUCAUCAUGCCCCUUAUGUCUUGGGCUUCACGCAUGCUACAAUGGCCGGUACAAAGGGUUGCGAUACUGUGAGGUGGAGCUAAUCCCAAAAAGCCGGUCUCAGUUCGGAUUGAGGUCUGCAACUCGACCUCAUGAAGUCGGAGUCGCUAG
RNAcentral lists this ribosomal RNA (765 nucleotides) under uncultured bacterium. RNAcentral describes it as "bacterial SSU rRNA". It matches the Rfam family "Bacterial small subunit ribosomal RNA", at positions 575 to 1338 of the family's 1533-position model. The record is from RNAcentral.